GCUAGAAUGUGCCUUUAUGUGCAUGCGCUCGACGUAUUGGCCACACUUGAAUCAAGCGACAAGGUGGAUGAUAGUCUAAUGAUGUUGUUGUUUUUUUUCGACGCAAUGAGCACCCCUGGUCCCCCAAGAAACUUUACUGGAAUUAAGUUGUGUGCAUGAGUAUGCUCCGUUCCCCACGAUGCCUUUUGCUUGUCACUCACCCCUCUUUUCGCAUAGUUCACCAACACCAAAGGAACAAAGGCAAAGUUUUGGAAUUUGUGAAGAAUAGACAUUUGUAGGUGGCACGGUGCCGCAACUGGAAUGGAUUGGAUUCACAGUUCUGAGGACCUGGGUUCAAUCCCGGCCCCGCCUGUGUGGGGUUUGCAUGUUCUCCCCGUGCCUGUGUGGGUUUUCUCCAGGCACUCUGGUUUCCUUCCACAUCGCAAAAACUUGCAUUGAUUGGAAAUUCUAUAUUGCCCCUAGGUGUGAUUUUGAUUGUGACUGUUGUCUGUCUCCAUGUGCCCUGUGAAUGGCUGGCAACCAUUUCGGGGUGUACCCUGCCUCCUGCCCGAUGACAGCUGGGAUUGGCACCACCACUCCUAUGACCCUCGUGAAGUGAAGUGAAGUGGCUCAGAAAAUGAAUGGAUAGACAUUUGUACAUUGAUUUGUAUACAUACAUUGAUUUGUGCAUAUUUUAUG
This is a long non-coding RNA of Syngnathoides biaculeatus (alligator pipefish), 678 nucleotides long. RefSeq lists it as uncharacterized. Lineage: Eukaryota; Metazoa; Chordata; Actinopteri; Syngnathiformes; Syngnathidae. The transcript has 3 exons. The record is from RefSeq and is a predicted model, not a curated record.